Molecule: ribosomal RNA, 423 nt
Filed under: uncultured bacterium
Lineage: Bacteria
Description: bacterial SSU rRNA
Rfam family: Bacterial small subunit ribosomal RNA
Source: RNAcentral
GAGACCUUGCGCUUUUGGAGCGGCCGAUGCCUGAUUAGCUUGUUGGUAAGGUAAAAGCUUACCAAGGCUUCGAUCAGUAGCUGGUCUGAGAGGACGGCCAGCCACACUGGGACUGGGACACGGCCCAGACUCCUACGGGAGGCAGCAGUGGGGAAUUUUGGACAAUGGGGGCAACCCUGAUCCAGCCAUGCCGCGUGAGUGAAGAAGGCCUUCGGGUUGUAAAGCUCUUUCAGCCGGAACGAAACGGUUACGGUUAAUACCCGUGAUUACUGACGGUACCGGAAGAAGAAGCACCGGCUAACUACGUGCCAGCAGCCGCGGUAAUACGUGGGGUGCGAGCGUUAAUCGGAAUUACUGGGCGUAAAGCGUGCGCAGGUGGUUUUGUAAGUCAGAUGUGAAAGCCCCGGGCUCAACCUGGGAACU